GACGAACGCUGGCGGCGUGCUUAACACAUGCAAGUCGAACGGAAAGGCCCUGCUUUUGUGGGGUGCUCGAGUGGCGAACGGGUGAGUAACACGUGAGUAACCUGCCCUUGACUUUGGGAUAACUUCAGGAAACUGGGGCUAAUACCGGAUAGGAGCUCCUGCUGCAUGGUGGGGGUUGGAAAGUUUCGGCGGUUGGGGAUGGACUCGCGGCUUAUCAGCUUGUUGGUGGGGUAGUGGCUUACCAAGGCUUUGACGGGUAGCCGGCCUGAGAGGGUGACCGGCGACAGUGGGAAUGAGAGACGGCCCAGACUACGACGGGAGGCAGCAGGGGGGAAUAGGGCACAAGGGGCGGAAGCCUGAUGCAGCAACGCCGCGUGCGGGAUGACGGCCUUCGGGUUGGAAACCGCUGUCGCCUGUGACGAAGCGGGAGUGACGGUAAUGGGUAAAGAAGCACCGGCUAACUACGUG
Molecule: ribosomal RNA, 468 nt
Filed under: uncultured bacterium
Lineage: Bacteria
Description: partial 16S ribosomal RNA
Rfam family: Bacterial small subunit ribosomal RNA
Source: RNAcentral